GUGCUCGCUUUAGCAGCACAUAUACUAAAAUUGGAAUGAUACACAGAUUAGCAUGGUCCCUGCACAAGGAUGAUGCACAAAUUCAUGAAGUGUUCUAUAUUUAA
Small nuclear RNA from Octodon degus (degu), 104 nucleotides. The record is from Ensembl. Lineage: Eukaryota; Metazoa; Chordata; Mammalia; Rodentia; Octodontidae.